This 264-nucleotide ribosomal RNA is filed under the name uncultured bacterium. RNAcentral describes it as "partial 16S ribosomal RNA". It matches the Rfam family "Bacterial small subunit ribosomal RNA", at positions 793 to 1055 of the family's 1533-position model. The record is from RNAcentral.
GUCCACGCCGUAAACGAUGGGUGCUAGGUGUGGGCGGUGUCGACUCCGUCCGUGCCGAAGCUAACGCAUUAAGCACCCCGCCUGGGGAGUACGGCCGCAAGGCUAAAAACUCAAAGGAAUUGACGGGGGCCCCGCACAAGCAGCGGAGCAUGUGGUUCAAUUCGACGCGACGCGAAGAACCUUACCAGGGCUUGACAUGCACUGGAAAGCCGUAGAAAUACGGCCCCCCUUGGGGCCGGUGCACAGGUGGUGCAUGGCUGUCGU